This is a long non-coding RNA of Cavia porcellus (domestic guinea pig), 20892 nucleotides long. RefSeq lists it as uncharacterized. NCBI's taxonomy places the organism in Eukaryota, Metazoa, Chordata, Mammalia, Rodentia, Caviidae. The record is from RefSeq and is a predicted model, not a curated record. The transcript has 4 exons.
CCCCUGUGAAUAGUCCUCGCGCGGGGGGGUGGGGGGGGGAGAGGCGGUGAGUGCUUUCCCCUCGCCUCCAGCCUCCAGGAGGUUCCCGGCGCCUCAGGCAGCUGCAGCUUCAUAGCGGCUGCCACCGCACCUGGGCAGUCUGGACCCUCGUGCCCUGCUCCCGGGGCCUCGUGCGGUGGGCGCCCCGGGACACCCCUGCGGGCCGGGUGGAGGAGGAGAAAGAAGAAGAGGAAGACGUGGACCAGGAUCCCCAACCUCCCCACAACACCUGGCCUCUCCGCUUCCACUUCUUUCACACAAGGAGAGAGGAGCCAGCAAGAGCCAUGGGGGGCUGCGAAGUCCGAGAAUUUCUUUGGCAAUUUGGAUUCUUUUUGCCUCUGAGGACAGCUUAGCCGGGCUACUGUAGUCAGGUCUCCAACAACCAAGUUGUGUUGCUUGAUACAACUACUGUGCUGGGUGAACUAGGAUGGAAGACGUAUCCAUUAAAUGGGCUUUAUUUCAGAGAAAACUAGUAGCUAGGAGAAGCAUAGACUUACAGCCACAGUAAUUUGGGCUCUCAGAAAUGAAUGACCCUCUUGGAAAUUGGAAAGAAAAGGUGCUCAAAAUACAGAUCACAUGACAUUGCUGAUAUUGGGAAUGAAGUAAAACUGACUAAUUUCUGAAGAAUAUAGUUGAAGCUUAGUUUUGUAAGAGAUAAAUACAUCAGGGAAUUGAGGAACUACUGUUCCUUAAAUUUUCACACUGUAUUCUCUUUUGCUUUUUGUUUUCUGCCACCUUUUUUUUCCUCUUAAAUAAAAAAAAAAAAAGAAUUCUGUGUUGAAUAUUUCAAAAAUACUUACAAACUCCAGGAAAGUAAUAUGUUAACAAACAAAAGAAUGUGCAUAAAUAAAUUUUUUCUUUAUAACACAAUAGGUGUUCUAAAUUAAUACUGAAGCAUUUUUACGUCCAUUAAAUAUAGGUAAAUGCUUUGUCUUUGUGUUUACUACGAAGAACUAAUCUUACUAAAUCUUACUCUAGUAAAUCCCAAAUCUUACUCUUGUAAACCCUAAAUCUUACUCUGAAAAAAUUGAAGGACUAGCUUUAGUUCUUUAAGACUUCUAAAAGUGAGAUGAUUUUAAUGCUAAUUAAACCAAAACACAGAGACACACAGAUCCAGUGUAUGCAGUAACAUUGUAUAGAAUAAGAAAUUGAAGAAUAUAUAUCCUUAAAUUAUUCUCCUGUUCUUAAAAUAAAUAAUAUAAAUGUUUUAAAACAUUAACUCUUGUGUCUAUUCUUUUCUUUUUGAUGUUUUUACUUAUUUGAUUUAGUUUUAGCCAUUGUAGAACAUUAUAAAGGAUAAAUUAUAGUAAUAGCAACAGGAUCUGUAGUUAAGAAUAAUAUUCGAAAUCCUUAUUAAUCAUUACAGAUUAUGCCCCACUUUAUGUCACACAACAGUGAGUAUCUCAUAUUGGAGUACUGUGGCUAUUAACUUGAACUGGUAGUAAGCAGUUACUCUGAACCAGAGAAAUAAAAGGCUUUUUACAGUAUAGAAAGAAUUUUAUAAUUAAAACUCUAUUUUCUUUUCUUUGAGCUUCAGUAAUUACAUUUGAUAACUUUUAAAAUUCAAUAGCUAUGUGGUUUUCUUUAAAAUUUUGGUACUGUAAAAAGAUAAGCAGCUUUUUAAAAAUAGCCAUAUACUGGUUAUUAGGGAUAAUUAUAAUUGAAUAAAAUCUGAUAAUUACUAUAUAUCAUUUCAUAAUAAUUUUUUGGAUACUGUUUAAUUUAUACCUAAAAUUACAUAUAAUACUGUGCUUAUUAUUGACAGAACGUGAUUUUAAGCACUCCAUCAACUCAUUUGAAACAGUAAUGUCAUCAUUUAUUUUAACAUACAAUAACAUUUUAGCGAAAAAAUAUUUUUCAUCUCUGUUGUUUUUCACUUUUGAUUACCAGAAAGCAAGUUUUAAAAGUUGUGUUUAAUGUAUAUAUGGUAAGACAUAUUUUUUACACUAUUAAACUGAUUUAAUUUUCAACAGAACAAUAUGAAUGAAAUUAUCAAAAAGUAUGGGAAAAAUACAGUGUCACAUAGACCAGUUGUGGCAAACCUAUCUGUUGCAGCCAGCUAUUUGUUAUCAUUGAAAGCUCUAAAAGACUCAACAUCGCUGGUAUAGAUCAUUCCACAUUUUUCUGCCACCGUGCCUCUGGCACAUGCUUAUAACAGCCUCUGAGUACUUGGAUGGAUGAGAACAGUGAACUGAAUCCUAGAGAAACAAUUCCUUAGGUACCUUUUUGAGCCAGGCCCAGAGUCUCAAAUAGAAAGUUUAUACUUUGACACCUUUAGUCCUGCAACAGGUUGGGUGUUGGCGACUCAUGAUAUGUCCUCUAGGCAUCUUUCUUGUUGUCCAGUUUCAUAAUCUCUUCAAGAAACACAUAUCCUUUUCCCUCAGCUUACACACACUUCUUUUCUGGCCAGCAUGUGAGUUAUUGAAACUUUUCUGCUCUGGAUUAUGUUCCCAAUGUUCACUGUACAUCUGGCUAAAAGAAACCAGCAGCCUGAAUGUUCAGCUGCUUUGAAAUUUCCCCAAAUAGAUCAAUUGGUUCACCAUGUUUAAACAUAGUCUUCCUCAGUCUCCUGACAGGCACAAUAUGUAGAUGAGUUUUUUGUCAGAAUGUAACUUGCUUGGUCUCCUUUUCCCAAGAGAAUCUGCACUCCUUUCUAAAAUCUGAAGGGCAGCCUUUACUCUCUGCAGUUCUACUAGCAUUCCGGUCUGCAGAAUCAAUCAGAGUUGUUUAUAAGCAUUUGAGGAUUUCUUUAGCUUCUAUCUCCAAAGCAUUCCAAAUAUUUUCUGCAAACUACUACCAAAGAGUUGUGAACCACAUUGUCAGACAUAAUCAUACCAGUGGCCAAGCAUUCUAGUAGCAAUUUUCUAUAUUGGUCCUAGUUACUUUUUGUUGCUGAGACACAAUAUAUGAGACUCAUAAAUUAAAGGAGAGGUUGAUUUUAGCUCAGUCUGUGGAGGUUUCAGUUCAAAGACAGGUGGCUUCAAGGCAGGGCAGCAUGUCUAAGAGACAUGGCAGAGAAAAACAGCUCAUUACUUAGCAGCAGGACAGAGAUGCAUCAAAGAGGAGAGUAGAAUAGGCCCAGUAAGGCCACACCCUCAGUGACAUCACUCCUCCAAACAGAGUUCACCUCCCAAGUCACAUUUAGCAGACUAAUCCACUAAUGAAUCUCACGCACUCAUAUUCCGAUCACCUUCUCAAAGCCCCACCUAUGAGCUCAUGAGACUUUGAUGGGACAUCUGCAUACAAUCAUGACAGUCGGGUAUAAUCACAACAAUGACCCCACUGUCAGCAAAUCUCUAUAUUGGUCAUUUUUUUCUUUGCUAGAAUACAGUUCUCAGCAUCCACAACUUAAAGGAGGGGACAUUUAUUUGUCUUCAUACUUUAAGAAAUGUUAAUUCAUAGUCGGGUAGCUCCAAGGCAGAAACAUCAUGUCAGGGGGGGUGUGGAAGAGCAAAACUGCUCACUUCCUAAGUAGAACACAGGAGAAAAGCAUCAGGAGAGAUACAUGUUCCAAAGGCAAGUCCCAGCAGUCCACCUUCUUCUCUACCCAAGUCCAGUGAUACUCCAACCUUGAAUGUCAGUGAUUAAUCUGCAGUUGACUACCCCAAGAUCAGUUGUCUCUGCAAGUAUCUCUCGAUUCAGUGUAGUUGACAAUUAAGGUUUGUUGUCACAAAAUUCCUGUAAUACAGUAGUUGCUGAAUCCAAAUUGUCCUAAAGAUAAGUCUGAAAGCAAGUUUUCUAACAUUAAAGUAUUCACUGAAUGCAAUUUCUAGUAAAGCAAAGAAUAAACAUAGUGAAGGGACAGAUAAAAGACACAUAAUUCUUGCACUUCGAAUUUUCCUUUUGUUUUAUGUCUUUUUUAAAAAAAAUUUUAUCUAAGGAGAAAAAGAAAAAAAAAUACAGAGAAAGGAUACAAGUUAUACAGAUUAACAGAAAAAAAAUAAACAGUAGGAAAUCACUAGUUAAUGGAUUACAUUUUGUCAUCUUAGAAAUAAUUGUUCAAGUUACAAAAUUAAAGCUUAUAAAGUGGACAUUCCUACAGUGAGACUACAAACAAUUCUGUUCAAUGAUUCAACAAAAGUCAGUAAUAUCAUUAUCUAUCUUAUACACUUAAAUAUACAUGCAGUUAUAUCAUUUAGAGCACUUUCUUUUCCUCUCUUUUGUACAAUGACAAUUACAUAUUUUGGGUUUUGUUGCUCCCACAGUUCUUAUUACUUUUUUGGAAGAGAGUAGAACCAAAUGUGACAUAACAGAACAGUCAGUCAAAUCAAAAGGGUGGACAUAAUAGAUAAUGUAAAAGCAUAAUACUAGGUGAUCAACAAUGGUUACCAUAAUGCCUCCCGCUAUCUCUAAUAGAAUUUCCUACAUCAUUAGUUAUAAUAAAAUUGAACAAAACAGUAAAGAACAAAACCAACAAAACCAAAACAUUGGAGACAUUAUAGAUCUGCAAAAGUAGAUAAUUGGUGGGUGGCAUGUAAGGACUUAGUUAAUUGGGAAAAGCAUUGUGUAGCUUCUUGUUAUUUAAUUAGUGAUUCCCUAAUUAAAGUAAUGGGAAUAUAACAAUUCAAAGCUUUUUUUGAUCUGCCUAUCUUCUUUAAUAAAGUGUCACUCAGAUAUCUUAUAUGUUAAGGGAUAUUCAAUGGAAAAGCUUACAAUUCUUAGUGGUUUCUUAAGGUGCUGCCCAGAAACUUGUGUUGUAUUUUCUUUUUUUAAGUUUGAGAAUGAAAAAAGAAUAGAAUAAUGACACAGGGUUUCAAAGCAACAUAAUAGUAGAUUAACAAUUGUUAAUAUACUGCAUAUUGUUAUCUUCAAAGCAGUUGCUCAGAUUACAAAAUGUAGGCAUGAAAAAAAAUGAUCAAACAAUGGAAGCACAAACCAUUGCUAGUAACCUGUUUCAGCACCUUCAGAUGCUUUGUGUGAUCUUCAUAAUUUUUCCUCUUGAGUCUUUUUGUGAUUUCCAUGGGAAACUGUUUAUAUAGAUGUUCCUGAAAAACAAACUUAUUGAAACUUUGGUUUUACUGAAUCUGGAAUCUUAAGACAGAAACUAACACAAGGGAGAUGAAAUAGGCACCUGAGACCAAGCAACCCCUAGAACCAAGAUGGGAAUAUCUGCAUGAUAGAUACUGCCUCUGGCUGUUCAGAACAUUUUGGGUGUUGUGACUGAGACAUGUCCUUGAUGUUAGUUCCAUGAAUAGAGGAGCAAUUGAGGGUACAAAAGAAAUCUCCAGUACAGGUGGGGAAGUUGGAAGUAUAGCAAAGUGGAUCAUAGAAGUCACAGAAGACCUCUGUUAGUGGGAGAUUUGAGAAAGCACGGUCAUGGAGACCAACCAAAAGUGAAAUAGGAUAAUUAUCCAGUGAGGGAAAAAAAAAUCAUUGAUUUUGGCUCCUAUUUGUGUGGGUAUAUUUGUUUAAUUGAUAUGGUUAUACUAUUUCACAUGAUUUGUAUAUUCUUAGGAUACAGUUACAAAGUUAAUUUGGUUUUCUGGUGCUUCAGUAGAGACAAGGCUGCUUAGAGAGUUUGCUGGCAGACACUCACAUUUACGAUAUAACAACCUGAGAACACAGAAAAAGAAAGAGAAGAAAAAACAGUAUCUGGCCUUCUGAAAUGAGCUAGACAAUACUUUUUUGGUUUUAGUUAUACUACUUACUAAUCUCUGUUAGUUCAUCCAAAGCACAGUUUGUGCUCUUAUUGUUUGGUUACUUACUCAUAUUUUUUCAUGCCUUAAUCUUGCAACCUGAACAACUAGUUUAAGAUAACAUUAUGCAAUAUAUUAAUUAGAAUUAAUUUCCUACUUUUUUUUCAAAUUCCGUAUACUUGCUGUCAUUUUUUUUUCCUGUUUUCCAUUUUUAUAAUUAAGACAAAAGAGGUAGAUAGCAUUUGGGCUUGCCUGUUGUUGUAGAAUUGAGUGAUAAAUCAGAUGGGUCUCAGUGUUUUUUGUUUUUAGGUUUUUAAUUACUGUCUCCAUUCAAUUGACUAUUAUUGUAUUUCUUAUGGUUUUUAUUUUUUGUGGUUCAUUAUUAGCCAUUCAUGUGGUUUUAGAAGUCUACCCAUUUCUUCUGGAUCCUCCAAUUUAUUGAAUUACAUGUUUUCAAAGUAGUUUUGACAAUGUUCUAGAUUUUAGCAGAGUAUUGUAGUUUCACUUUUUAAAUUUUAGUUGCAUUGGUUUGGCCCUUUCCUUCAUUUUUUCAUACAAAUGACUGUAUUUUGUGUAUUCUUUCAAAGAAACAGCUCUUCAGUCUAUGAUUAUUUGUAUAUUUGUCUCAAAUUCAGUAAUGUCUGAACUGAUGUUUAACAAUUCAUCCUUAAACUAGCUUUGCAUUUGAAUUGUUCAAGGUUUUCUAGGAUCUUGUGGUCUAUCAUUACAUUAUUUAUUUGUACUUGUUCUGUGUCUUGGUAACUUUUCUUACUGCUCAGACAAAAUGUCUGAAACACAAAAGUAAGGAGGGAAAGAUUUACUUCAUUUUAUAGUGUGUAGAGUUUUCAGCCCAUGGUCAGCUGGUUUCACAGCAGAGUGGCAUGGCAGUGGUACAUCACAGAGGAAAAACAGUUAAUAGUGUGACAGGAGGAAGACAGCAAGGAGCAGCUUGCCCUUCCAUUUUAUUCCCUCAAGGAUGCAAGCCUUUUGGGUGGGGCCAAGUACACUGAGGAAAAUUUCUGUCUUCAUUCAGUCCACAUCUGUAACUACAUUACUUCCUAUUUGUGGACUAGUGUAGUGCCACAGAGCUUUAAUUUCAGUGCCACAUGUGCUAGAUUCAGCCAGUUCAGAAAACCCCACUUGAAGUAGUAGGUACAAGGCAUAAUGCUACUUUUUAUGUGAACAUUCAUGGUUAUAAAUUUUCUUCUUAAAAUCAUUUUUAUUGUGUACAUUAGGAUCUGGUAUGUUGUAAUGACAUCACUUGAUCCUGUAAGCUGUCACAGUAUCUUCUUUAUUUUGUUUGUGACUCAGUGAUUCAAUAAAGUGCUAUGUUAUUUCCAUGUCUAUGCCUAAAUUUUUUGGUUUCUUUUGCCAUUGAUUUCUAGUAUUAUUGCACAGUGGUCCGACAAUGUGCACAGAAAGGUUUCCAUUACUUCAUGUUAUUUUAAGCAUGAUUCUUUGGAUAAUAUGAGGUCUAUUUUUGAGAAAAUUUCAUGUAUUGCUGGGAAGAUGUCUUUCAUGUUUGGGUGGAGGGCUCAGUAGACAUUCUAUUAUAUCUAUUUGUUUGAAUAUGUGCUUCAAUUCCCAUAUUUAUUUGUUUACUUCUUGUCUAGUUCAUCGGCUUAUUGGAUGACAUUGGGGGUAUUAAAGACCUUUACUAUAACUCUGUUGAUGUAUGUCUGAUUUUACACCCAGGGAUAUUUCUUUUAUGAGUUCAGCACUCCAAUAUUUGGUGUAUAUAUAUUGUAUUUGCCUGUUAACUUGUAAUAUUAUCUAAUAUGCUGUGCCCUUUUGUUGCUUUCUGCUCCAUUUUGGCUUGAAGUCCAGGUAGACUGAAAAUAAGAUAAUUGUUGCUCUCAUCUUCAGGCUCAGGUUGCAUGGAAUGUUGUGUUCAACUUGUAAAAUUAAGUCUAUGAAUUUCUUAUUUAAUUUUGGAUUAAGUAUGUUUCUUGUACAUAAUGUAUAAUUAGUUUUGGUUUUGCUUAGUACAAUCUGGCAAUCAGUGUCCUUUCAUUUGGGAGUUGACAUGAAAGUGUUUGAGUUAGUCUUGUCACUGCAUCAUCACACAGGAGACGUAGUCCAUUGUUGGAUAAGCAAAAAGCAGUCUGCUUACUUUUUCCUUUCUCCUUGAUUGUAUUACACUACAAGCAUAUUCAUGGUUACCAACCAUGGCAGAGGUGGCAUUCCCAUUAUCCACACCUAGAACUGUGCUAAGCCAAUCAGUGUAGUAAUAAGUAGUCACACAUCCUUCAUUCAUAUUCACACACCCUGAAUGAGCUACCUUGAAAAACCCCAAGUAUAAGGGCAGGGAGCUUUGAGAAACAGCCAGAUACAAGCCAUCCCUAGCCUGAGAAUUUCUGACGUGUUGGAUUUGUGGUCUUGAAUUUAUUAAGGUGGUCAUUGACAAAAAAUAUCCUAUUUGUCCAUUAACUGUGAAAGAUAGUUUUGUGGGCAUAUUAAUCUUGGUUGGAAAUUGUUUACUUUUAGGGAUUAUAACACUUUGCUCCAUGCUGUUAUGCACUUUAAAUUUUAUGUUGGUUAGGAAUGUACUUGGGGUGCAUUUACUUUUCCAUUUGACAUGGAGCUUUUAAGAUUUGGUCCUUUUGUUGGCAUUUCAACUGUAACAAGCUGAAGAGUGGUUCUUUUCUGAUUCUGGCUAUUUGGGGAUUCAAUAUUACAUAUUUACCUAUAUUUUAAAUUAUUUUUACAUGUCUGGAAACUUUCCUUGUAUGAUUUCUGGAAACUGAUAUUAUGUUACUCAUGCAGUCCUCUGAUUUUUCACUAAUUCCAAUGAAUUAUAAGUGAGUAUUAUUUGCAUUAUCUAGCAGCUAUUGAUCCAUUUUCCUUGGUCUCUUGUUUUUAAGAUAUUCCUGACUCUAUGGUCACAUAAAUGAACCCUAGGUUCUUGUUCUGACAUUUGUGACUUCUGAUUCCAGUGCUCUCACAAGAUCUUUAUAAAAAUCUCCUGCAUUUACAUUUGGUGCAUUUUCAUGGACCAUUGUUUUUGCUAGACUAGUCAUUCAUGUAUUGGAAGAUAUUAUGUUGUUCAGCUACAUUUUAAUCAUGUCUUCUUUAAGAACUUCUUGUUUAUUAAGUCCACUAUCUGCUUAGUUAUGUCUUCUUUGAGCUCACCAAGCACAUUAUCAAUCUGUUUUCUUUUCUCUUUUAUGUUUUGGUAUAAUUUAAGUGUUUGGCUUUAUAUUUUUUUCCUUCUGGAUUCCCUGUGGAUGAGUUUUGGGGCACUGGGUCUAUUGGAGAUAUUUUCUUGCCCCGUUUGCCUAUGUUUAAUACUCUGUGUGAGAGUGUGUCUGUGUGCAGGCACAUGCAUGUAUGUGUGCACAUUAAGAUUUGAGGACUUCUAAGAUUGGAGUUUAUUGCUAGAUGUAGAUCUCUUUAAUCAGGAUCUUAUUUUCAGUGAUGCACUCAGCAUCAAUAAUUUUAAUACUUUGCUUACCUCAACAUUUCAUCACUUCUGUUAAUUUGAGGAGGAAAGGGUGUGGUGUAAUUGGCUUAAUGCUAUUUUCUUAUAAAUAAACCGCAGUAGCAUUGGUAGUUCAAGACAAAGCAGAUAUUGCCACAUACUAAACUCCAAUCAUAGCCACAAUUAUAUCACAAAAAUAGGAAAGAAAUCAAUAACAAUAGACUCCAAGAGAAAUUGGAUAUUGGUGUAAUACAAGAACAAAUAAAGUGCCACUCAACCAUUCAUGAGUAUAAAUAAAUGUAGAAUAAUAAUAAUAAUAAUAAUGUAUACAGAACUGUAUAUUAAUUACUGAUAUACAAUAAAUGUAUAAUAAAUUAAACAAUAAUACUAUGAUUAACAAUAGAAAAUAACAACAAAAAAUAGAGUUAACUAAGUAUUUAAAGAUUAACAAAGCCUAAUAGGAAUAUUAAUAGAGGAGAUAGGGAAGUGGAAAUGAAAAGCAAACUUUUAACUUUUUUUUUAAAUUUUAAAUAGAUUAAGACAAAAGAGGACAUAACAAAGCAGAUCAGAUCAGAACAAUUCAAGAAACAAAUCAUUUUACCACAAAACAAACCACAGUAACUACCAUAAUGCCUCUUUCUUUGAAUUAAUUGAUCAUAGUUUCAUAUACGAUAGUAUCAAACAUAACAAAACAGUAUAAAACCAUUAAAGAGAAUGAAAUCAUUACAGGGCUUUCAGAAACAAGCAGCACAGAAUGAAAAAUGGCUACUAUAUUAUCUCAUUGUCUAUAGAAAAUUUGUUUAUGUUAUCACUUACAAUAAUUUCCAAUAAGAUACGACGUGAUAGAAUCAAAGGAACAGAAAAAAAAGCAUAGAACUUUAGAGUAAGAUGAUACUAAAUCAGUUCUGCCUAUUCUAAUGUCUUGUUGUCUUCAAAAUAGCUGUUCAUACUAUCACAGAUAAUAAAAUCAAACAAACUAGGAUAAAACAAUUCCAACUAAUGAAUACAGACUUAAUAAGGCUCCAAACCAAUGUAAUGGGGAAUCAUGAUCACCAUAAAUUCUUAUGUACACAUACCAUUUCUUACACAAGGGAGAAUAUAUGGUAUUUCUACAUGUGAGUCUGAUUUAUUUCGCUUAUGAGUAUGGGCUCAAGGCAUCCAUUUAUUUAUAAAUAUCUCAAUGUUAUCAUACUUUAUACCUGAGUAGUACUCUAUUUUAUUUUAUUUUUUUAAAUUUUAUUUAAAAGGAAAAAGAGAAAAAACAAAACAAAACAAAGCGGUGUAACGGUACAAGUAAUACAGAACUACAAAAAACAACAACAACAACAACAACAACAACAAAAACGUAAGAAAUCACCAGUUAAUAGAUUACAUAUUAUCAUCUUAGAGAUAGUUGCUCAAAUCACAGUAUCAAAGCAUACAAAGUGGACAUUCAAACAGUGAGACUGCAAACAGUUGUCUUCAAUGAUACAACCGAAAACAUUAAUAUGGUCAGCUAUUUAACACCCCUAAACACACUUGCUGUUGUAUCCUUUAGAGCUCUUUUUUUCCCUCUCUUUUUUACAACAAAAUUUACACAAUUUGUGUUUUAUUACUCCUUAGUUCUUAUUACUUUUUUGAGGGGUGAGAAUAAAGUCAAAUAUGGAAAAACAAAGCUGUCAGUCAAAACCAAGGAUAGACAUAGCACAUGAUGUAAAACAGAGUACAAGGUUAUCAACAAUGGUUAUCAACCAUGUCUCUUGUUUCCUUAAAAAGAAUUGUCUAUCUCAUUAGAUAUUAUAAAGUUGAACAAAACAGUAGAGAACAAGACCAAUAAAACUUAAGCAUUGUAAACAUUACAGGACUUCCAAAGGAGACAAUAGUCAAACCAGAAUGGGCAUCUUAGUGAAUCUUAUUGCCUUCAAAGUGGUUGCCUAUACCCUCAAACUUGAUACUAUCGCACAGAAUGGAACAGAGUCUAAUCAGUUAAAACAAGAUCGUGGGAGUAUUACAGGACUUCAAAACAAGUUAAUAGGAAAUCAAAAAAGUUACUAUUAUAUACCCUGAUAAUUUAAAAAAAAUUUCCCCUUAAUUAAAAAAAACAAAAAAUAACUAAAUAAUUUUUAAUGAAUAAGGCAGAGGUUGAGAUAAAACAGGACAUAACAAUAUAACAAUACAGGUCAAAGCAUGACUGUUUCAGCAACCUAGUGGUUCACCACCAAAUUACCCGACUUAAUAGUAGUUACCAUAGUGUCUGUCUUUUUCCAUGAAAUAUUUGAAUAAAACUUCAUAUACUAUAGUUUCAAAUAUUUCCAUAUCAAGAAGCCCAGAAGAAAGCCUUUCCAAUUAAUAAGUGAAAACUUUAUAAGGCUUCAAAGCCACAUAAUGGGGAAUCAUGAUUACCACAUAUUUUUAUAUAUUUGAAUCAUUACUUACAUUAGGGAAACUAUUCGGUAUUCACACAUGUGAGAUUGAUUAAUUUCACUUAUGAGUAUGGUCUCAAGCUGCACCCCUUUAUUGAUAAAUAUCUAAAUGUGAUCUUUCUUUAUAGGUGAAUAAUAUUCCAUUGUAUAGAAAUACCACACUUUUAUCCAUUCCCCAGUUGAUGGACACUUGGGUUGUUUCCAAGAUCUGGCGAUUACAAAUUGUGCUGCUAUAAACAUAGGUGCACAUGUAUCACUGUGUUAUGAUGCUUUCAGUUCUUCUGGGAAUAUGCCUGGAAGUGGAAUAGCUGGAAUAAAUGGGACUUCCAACCCCAGCUUUUUGAGAAAUCUCCAGAAUGCCCUCCACAAAGGCUGCACCAGUCUACACUCCCACCAACAAUGUAGGAGAGUUCCUUUUUCCCCACAGCCUCUCCAGCAUUUGUUGUUGUUGGUUUUCUUGAUCCUGGCCAUUCUUUCAGGAGUGAGAUGGUAUCUCAGUGUGGUUUUAAUUUGCAUUUCUCUAAUGACCAAUGAUGAUGAACAUUUUUUCAUGUAUUUAUUUGCCAUUUGCAUUUCUUCAUCUGAGAAGUGUGUAUUCAUCUCAGAUGCCCAUUUUUGGAUUGGAUCUUUGAAUUUUUGGGGUCUGAGUUUUUUAAAUUCUUUAUAUGUUUUAGACAAGAGUCCCUUAUCUGAGAGAGAGUUCAUUAAAAUCUUUCCCAGUUUGUGGGUUUUCUUUUCAUUAUGCUGGAGAUUUCUUUUGACAUGCAGAAACUUUUUAGUAAGAAGUGGUCCCAGUUAUUGAUUCUGGCAAGGAUUUCCCAUGCAGUUUGAGUCCUGUUCAUGAAUUCUCUACGUACUCCUAUGUCUUCAAGGUUUCUACCCAAUUUGUCUUCCAAUAGAUUUAGUGUUUGUUUUAAUAUUCAGAUCUUUGAUCCAUUUAGAUUUUAAUUUAGUACAUGGUGAUAGACAUGGGUCUAGCUUUAGUUUUCGGCAAAUGGAGAGCCAGUUUUUCCAGCACCAUUGAUUAGACUGUCAUUCUUCCAGUGAACCUGCUUGACUCCUUUAUCAAAGAUAAGGUGGUUGAGUGUGUUUGUAGUUGUGGUUUUAUCUUCUAAUCUAUUUCAUUGAUCUUCGGCUCUGUUUUGAUUCCAAUACCAUGUUGAUUUCACUACUGUUGAUUUGUAGUAUAACUUCAAGUCAGGGAUUGUGAUGUCUCCUGCUUUGUCUUUGCUGCUUAGAAUUGCCUUUGCUAUUCUAGGUCUCUUCUGGUUCCAGAUGAAAUUUAGGAGUGAUUUCUCUAGAUCUAUAAGGUAUGCAUAUGUAUUUUUAUUGGGAUUGCAUUGAAUCUGUAUAACAGUUUUGAGAGAAUGGCCAUUUUCACAAUGUUUGUCCUUCCUAUCCAUGAGCAAGGGAUGUCUUUCCAUUUUUUGAGAUCAUCUUCAAUUUCUUUUUUCACUGUAUUGUAAUUUUCACUGUAUAAGUCUUUCAAUUCUUUCAUAAGAGUCAUUCCUAAAUAUUUCAUUUCUUUGCUUGCUAAUGUGAAGAGUGUUGUUUCUCUUAUUUCCCUCUCUGUGAUUUUGUUGUUCGUGUAUAGGAAUGCUAUUGAUUUCUGAGUAUUGGUUUUGGAUCCAGCCACAUUACUGAAUGUAUUUAUUGUAUGUAAGAGUCUUUCAAUGGAGUUUAGGGGGUCUUCUAUGUAGAGUAUCAUGUCAUCUGCAAACAAUGAUAAUUUAACUUCUUUUCCUAUCUUUACCGCUUUUAUUUCUCUCAUUUGCCCAAUUCCUCUGGCUAGUACUUUCAGUACUAUAUUAAAUAGGAGUGGUGAUAAAGGACAUCCUUGUCUUGUGCCUGAUUUUAAAGUAAAUGCCUUCAAUUUUUGGCCGUUUAGUAUGAUGCUGGCUGUUGGUUUGUCAUAAGUGGCCUUUAUUAUAUUGAGGUAAAGACCAUCUAUUCCAAUUUUCUGUAAAGUUCUUAUCAUGAAUAAAUGUUGGACCUUAUCGAAGGCUUUUUCUGCAUCUAUAGACAUGAUCAUGUGAUUCUUACUUUUGGCUUCACUGAUAUGGUGGAUUACAUUAGUUGAUUUACGUAUGUUGAUCCAUCCUUGAAUUCCUGGGAUGAAUCCCACUUGGUCAUGGUGUAUAAUCUUCUUGAUGAUUUGCUGCAUCCUACUUCCCAAUAUUUUAUUGAGGAUUUUGCAUCUGUGUUCAUUAGGGAGAUCAGUCUAUAGUUCUCUUUUUGAGUUGGGUCUUUCUCAGGUUUUGGUACUAAAGUAAUAUUUGCUUCCAGGAAUGACGUAGGAAUGAUUGCUUCCCUUUCAAUUUCAUUGAAUAGUUUGAAGAGUGUCAGCCUUAGGUCUUCUUUGUAUUUCUUGUAGAAUUCUGCAGUGAAUCCAUCUGGGCCCGGGCUCUUCUUUGUAGGUAAGGACUUAAUUACAUUUUCCAUUUCAUUAACAGAGAUUGGGUUAUUCAACAGUUUUACAUCCUCUUGAUCUAGCUUUGGUACUUCAUAUGUUUCUAAGAAUCUUUCUAUUUCUUCUGUGUUAUCAAACCUUUGUGAGUAAAGGUUUUCGAAAUAGGUGUUGAUGAUCUUCUGUAUUUCCAUUGGGUCUGUAGUGAUUUCACCUUUUUCAUUUCUUAUUGCUUGAAUUUGAGCUUUUUCUUCCCUUUUUUAAUAAGGUUGGCUAGGGGCUUAUCGAUUUUAUUUAUUCUUUCAAAGAACCAACUCUUUGAUUCAUUGAUUCUUUGGAUUGUUUUUUUUAGUCUCUAUUGCAUUGAUUUCUGCUCUGAUUUUUAUAAUUUCCUCUCCUCUUUUGGCUUUGGGCUUGACUUGCUCUUCUUUUCUAGCUUUUUGAGGUGUAGCAUCAAGUUAUUUAUUUGUAUUCCUUCUGUUUUCCUGAUGUGGGAACUCAGUGCAAUAAAUUUUCCUCUGAGGGCGGCUUUCAUUGCAUCCCACAAAUUCCAAUAAGUUGUAUCUGCAUUUUCAUUUUCUUUUAGGUAUUGUAUAAUUUCUUCUUUAAUUUCUUCUGUGACCCACUGAUUACUCAGGAGUGUGUUAUUCAGUUUCCAUGUGUUUGUGGGAUUUUUGCAGUAUCUUUUAUCAUUAAUUUCUAAUUUCAGAGUGCUAUGAUACGAUAACAUGCAAGGGAUGAUUUCAAAUCUUUUGCAUUUGUUUAAAUAUGUUUUGUGAGCUAAUAUAUGGUCUGUUUUAGAGAAUGAUCCAUGUACUGCUGAGAAGAAUGUGUAUUCUGAUGUUGUUGGGUGGAACAUUCUGUAUAUGUCUAUCAAAUCCAUUUGUACGCAGGUGUGAUUCAGUUCUGGUAUUUCUUUGCUCAUUUUCUGUCUGGUUGAUCUGUCCCUUGGUGUCAAUGGCAUAUUAAGGUCUCCGGUUACAAUUGUGUUACUGAUAAUUUGAGUUUUCAUUUCUGUUAAUAGUUGUUUUAUAUAACUGGGUGCUCUGGAGUUUGGUGCAUAUAUAUUUCAGAUAGUUAUCUCUUCCUCUUGGAGUUUUCCCCUUAUGAGUAUGUAGUGACCUUCUUUGUUCUUUAUGGUCAUUGUUGGUUUAAAGUUCACGUUGUCUGCAAACAGAAUGGCUACUCCUGCCUUAGUAGUCUAUUUUUUAAAAAAAUACCAUAACAUUAUUACCAUUCCUCAGUUGAUGGACACUUAGGUUGUUUUCAAUAUCUGGCUAUUACAAAUUGUGCUGCUAUAAACAUGGGUUCACAUAUAUCACUGUGGUACGAUGCUUUCAGUUCUUCUGGGAAUAUGCCUAGAAGUGGAAUAACUGGAACAAGUGGGAUUUCCAACCUCAGCUUUUUGAGGAAUCUCCAGACUGACAUGCACAAUGGUUGCACCUGUCUACACACCCACCAACAGUAUAGGAGAGUUUCUUUUUCCCAUAUUCUCUCCAGAAUUUGUUGGUAGUUUUUUGAUUCUGGCUAUUAUUUCUGGAGUGAGAUGGGAUCUCAUUGUGUUUUUAAUUUGCAUUUCUCUAAUGAGUAAUGAUGAUGAACAUUUUUUCAUGUAUUUACUUGUCAUUUGUGUUUCUUAAUCUGAGAAGUGUGUAUUCAUCUCAGAUGCCAUGUUUUUGACUGGGUCUUUGAAUUAUCUGGGUCUGAUUUUUUAAAAUGCUUUAUAUGUUUUAUACCUAAGUCCUUUGUUUGAGCGACAACGAACUAAGAUAUUUUUUCCAAGUUUGAGGAUUUUCUUUUCACUAUGGUGGAUAUUUUUUUUGACAUGGAGAAAUUUUUUGAUAAGAUGUGAUCCCAGCUGUUGAUUCUGGGAAAUAUUUCCCAUGUAGUUUGAUUCCUACUCCUAUGUCUUCAAAGUAGAAGUCUGUAUCUAUCCCUAUGUCUUCAAGAUUUUUACCUCAUUUGUCUUCCAACAGAUUGAGUGUUUCUCUUUUAAUAUUCAGAUCUUUAAUCCAUUUAGAUUUUAGUUUAGUACAUUGUGACAGGGAUGGGUCUAGUUUUAGUUUUUGGCAUGUGGAGAGCCAGUUUUUCCAGCACCACUUACUCAAUAGACUGUCGUUCUUCCAGUGAACAUGUUUGGCCUCUUUAUUAAAGAUAAGGUGGUUGAAUGUGUUGGUAGUUGUGGUUGUAUCUCUAAUCUAUUCAAUUAAUUUUCAGAUGUUUUUAUUCCAGUAUCAUGUUGAUUUUCUUACUGUUGCUGUGUAGUAUAACUUCAAGUCAGGGAUUGUAAUGUCUCCUGCCUUGCUUUCGCUGUUUAGAAUUGCCUUUUCUAUUCUAUGUCUCUUUUGGUUCUAGAUGAAAUUUAGGAUUGACUUCUCUAGAUCUAUUUAGUAUGUUGAUGGUAUUUUCAAUGGGAUUGCAUUGAAUCUAUAUAACCCUUUUGGGUGAUUAUCAAUUUUUACAAUAUUGAUUCUUCUUAUCCAUGAGCAAUAGAUGUCUUUACAUUUUCUGAGAUCUUCUUCAAUUUCUUUUUCAGGGUAUUAUAAUUAUCCCUCUAUAGAUGUUGUACUUUUGUGAGAUUAAUUCUUGAAUAUAACAUAUUUUUGGAUGUUACUGUGAAGGGUGUGGCUUCUUUUAUCUCUUUCUCAGUAAUUUUGUUAGUGUAUAGAAAUACUAUUGAGUUUUGAGUAUUGAUUUUCUAUCCAGCUACAUAAUUUAAUUUAUUUAUUAUAUCUACGAGUCUUUCAAUGGAGUUUUGGGGGUCUUCUAUGUAGAGUAUCAUGUCAUCUGCAAAUACUGAUACUUUAACUUCCUCUUUUCCUAUCAUUACCCCUUUUAUUUCUCUCUCUUGUCUUAUUGCUCUGGCCAGUUUUCUAGUACUGUGGUGAAUAGGUGCAAUGAUAAGGGACAUCCUUGGCUUGUGCCUAAUUUUAAGGUAAAGGCCUUCAGUUUUGGGCCAUUUAAUAUGAUGCUGGUUGUUGGUUUGUCAUAGAUGACCUUUAUCAUAUCAAGGUAAAGAACAUCUAUUCCAAUUUCCUGUAAGUUUCUUGGCAUGAAUGAGUGUUGGACCUUAUCAAAUGCUUUUUCUACCUCUACAGAGAUGAUCAUGUGAUUCUUUCUUUUGGCCUUAUUGAUAUGGUGAAUUGCACUUAUUGACUUACAUAUGUUGAACCAUCCCUGCAUUCCUGGGAUGAAUCACACUUGGCCAUGGUGUGUAAUCUUCUUGAGGAUUUGCUGCAUCCUAAUUGCCAAUAUUUUAUUGAGGAUUUUUGUGCCUGUAUUCAUUAGGGAGAUGGGCCUGUAGUUGGCUCUUUAAUCAGCUUUUGGUAGUAGAGUAAUAUCUGCUUCCAGAAGUGACUCAGGAAGAAUUACUUUCCUUUUGAUUUCAUUAAAGUGUUUGAAGAAUGUCAGCAGUAAGUCUUCUUUGUAUUUCUUUUAAAAUUCCCCAAUGAAUCCAUCUGGGCCUGGGCUCUUCUUUGUAGGUAGGGACUUAAUUUUCAAUUUCAUUAAUAGAAAUUGGUUUAUUCCACUGUUUUACAUCUUCUUCACCCCGCUUUGGUACUUCAUUUGUUUCUAGGAAUCUGUCCAUUUCUUUUGUGUUAUCAAACCUAUGAGAAUAGAAGUUUUUGAAAUAGAUGUGGAUGAUCUUCUGUUUUUCGACAGAAUCUAUAUUGUUUCAACUUUUUUGUUCCUUAUUGCAUGAAUUUGAGCUUAUUCUUCACUUUUUAAAUAAGGUAGGAUAGGGGAUUAUCAGUUUUGUUUAUUCUUUCAAAGAAUCAACUCUUUGAUUCCUUGAUUUUGUUGGAUUGUUUUGUUAGCCUCUAUUAUAUUUAUUCUGCUCUGAUUUUUAUAAUUUCCUACCUUCUUUUGGCUUUGGGCCUGACCUGCUCCUCUUUUUCUCGUAGCAUUCCUAUACAGUAACAACAAAAUCACUGAGAGAGAAAUAAAAGAAGCCACACCCUUCACACUAGUAUCCAGAUGAGGCAAUACAAAUGGAAAAUAAAUACAUGAAAAUGUGUUCAUCAUCAUCACUCAUUACAGAAAUGCAAAUUAAAACCACACUGAAAUUCCAUCUCACUCCAUAAAGAAUGAUCAUCAUAAAGAAAACUACCACAUCCCAUUUGACAAACCUAUUUCACUUCUAGUCAUAUUCCCAGAAGAAAACAUAAAACAUUAUACCACAGUGAUAUAAGUGCACCCAUGUUUAUAGCAGCACAAUCUGUUAUAGCCAGAUCUUGGAAAGAAUCUAUGUGUCAAUGAACUGAGGAAUGGAUAAAAAUGUUGUAGUACUUUUUAUAAAAUAGAGUAGUGCUUAGCUAUAAGGAAUUAUCACAUUGAGAUAUUUAUAAAUAAAUAGAUUUAGCUUGAGACCAUGCUCAUAAGUGAAAUAAAUCAAACUCACAUGUAUAAAUACUGUAUAUUCUCCCUAGUGUAAGAAACGGUAAGUGUACAUAAGAUUUUUUGGUAAUCAUGAUUCCCUAUUACAUUGCUUUGAAGGCACAAUGUUUUCAUUCAUUAGUUGGCAUGGUUUUAUUCUAGUUUGUUUGAUUUUAUUAUCUGUGAUAGUAUGAUCAGAUAUUAAAAAGUAAAAUAUUAAAAUAACCAUUGCUGAUUUAAUAUCAUCUUGGUUUGAAGUGCUACCAUGCUUUUGUUCUUAUGUUUCCACUGGUUCUAUCCACUGGAUUUUAUUUUGUGUGACAGUAUAAACAGAUAUUUUAUGGAAAAUGAGAUGAUAGACUAGCCAUUGUUUAUUUUUGGUUAUUUGGUUCUGAAUGCCCUGUAAUACUUUCAUUCUCCUGAAUAGUAUUUUACUAUUUUGUUGUGGUUGAUACUAUUGUAUGUGAAGGUAAGCUCAAGUAUUUCAAAAAAAGAGACAUUAUGGUAGCUACUGUUAAUAUACAUACAGUUGUCUUGUGGUGAAGUACUGUGUUGCUUACAUUGUUCUGUUAUGAUCUUCUUUGUUCUGUAUUCUUUUGUCUUAAUCUCUUUAAAUUAAAAAUUAAUAAAAUAUGCACCACUGAUAAGUGCUUAAUUAACAAAGAAAAGAGACAUAAAAUAGACUAAGGGGAUAUAGUUAUAAUUGUGAACAGCAGUUUAGGAAGUAAACUGAAUAUAUGAAACUGGAGUAUUUGUUCACACAUUUUCUCCAUUUAUAAAUAAUUUAAAUGAGGGCAGCUAGAGAGAGUGAAGGGGGAAAAGAAUAGAGGAUGGAAGAGACUGUUUACACUGUACCAUGCUGUAUUUUAUGAAUUCCUAAAUUCUUAGGUCUGAAAGGAAAGUAGAAACCCAAGUCCUGCUAGUGACCUUGGACAGAAAGUGUUCAGUGAAGCCCAUGGACUCUGUCCUGAGAUCAGAUACCUUCUCUGCUCUCCCCUCCUCCCUGAGGAAAGGACUCCUAUUGGGGCUGGGCUGAGCUUGGGUAUCAGAUAUACUUACAUUGCCAAGGUGGGGAUUGUGUCAUGUAUUUUCACAUCUUAUACACAGCGAUGUCAUGGAUCUACUUUCCUUCUCCUAUGCAAGUAUUUUGGCAUUUGACAUCUCAUUAUUAGACUAAAAGUAGUAAAUUCAUUUUAGAUCAUGUUCAUUCGACAUUUUUUCUUUUUUGGAGACAUGAUCUCACUAUGCAGUUAAGACUGGCUUUGCAUUCUCUUUGCAGGCUAGCCUGGUCUCACACUUGCAAUUGAUUCUCCUGCCUCAGCCUCCAAAGUGCUAGGAUUACAAGAACGUGCCACCACAUUGGUUAAUUUGACAUUUAAAAGAAAUCUUAUUUCACAAAAUUUUUAAGUUUCCUUGAGGUGGCAAUGGAUGACCAUUAAGUGAAAUUCCUAAAUAGAAAAUGAAAAAUGUACAUACAUGUAUAUGCACUUAUACAAUUAAUUUUAACCAAAAUGUUCUGUUGACCUCGGGUAGGUCAAAAGUCACUUGAAGGCUAUGUAUUUCAGGGUCUCUUCAGGUCAUAGAACGUUAAAACAGAAAGAAAAUCCUAGAGGCCAAAUGAAAGCCCUCAGUGCCAGCUUCCAUUCCUGCACCCGCUCUUGUUGCCUUUCUUUCCCAGUGGAAAGAGCGCCGCCUUCUGGUUCUGAAUCAGGAAAGUUUCUGUAUGGGUUCACCGUGAUGUUCCCUCACUCUGUAUCAGCUGGCAGUGUGAUACAGAGCCAUGUCCUAGGGUCUAAGGCUACUCAUUUGCAGUUACAGCGUAUCCUUGCCAUUGCUGGUCAGGUGGUGAAUUGGCACUUCAUGGAGUCUGCGUAGCUGACAUAGCUACUAUCAUAAUUAAUGCAUGUCCUCCACUCUAGUUCCUUCCUUGGAGGCUGGCAGAACCAGUGCCAUAGCUAGUGAAAGUGUAUCCAGAAGCUGCACAGGAGUUUCAGGAAGCCCUCAGACUUCACCAAGCCUCCCCUGACUCCACAACUCCUCAUAAGCCUAGACACAUGGAAACAAAAGAAGAUCCUGAUCUGGAAAUUGUCACACAUGUCCACUGUUAUCCCUCUCAUGUCCACUUCCCCUUCCUUUAUUUAUUGUUCACAAUUUACCUUUCAGAAGUGCAAACAGGAAAACCCAACUCAGCCCCAAAUCUAUAGUGAUUGUCUGUGCUCAUUUCUGAUCACUUCAUGGUAAUAGUUGCCCAUCCAAGGCUCAGUUUCUGUCCAGAGCUCAGGAUCAGGCCUAGGCUGGUUUUCAUGGGCACAGAGAAGCUUCAUUUGCAUUUAUUCCUGCUAUAUAAAUAGCGCUGUUAUUAGAUCCUUAGAGCAGGCUGUGUCCACAGCAAACGUGAGUGCACUGGGCAAGUCUGAUAAAAAAGACAUAUUCGCUAUUGUGAUAGUACUCUGUUGUGUUUUUGACUUUUCAUCAGUCUUCAUUUCUGUCCAUAUACUCAGAUCAUGCCUUUUAUGUUAAUGAUGCUUGUUUUGUAAACAUGUGAAAUAUUGAGUGCCAUGAAAAGUUGUGUCCUCCACUUAGGAUCUGAUGCUGUGUGAAUGUCUUUCC